This 389-nucleotide ribosomal RNA is filed under the name uncultured bacterium. Its description in RNAcentral is "bacterial SSU rRNA". It matches the Rfam family "Bacterial small subunit ribosomal RNA", at positions 28 to 418 of the family's 1533-position model. The record is from RNAcentral.
GACGAACGCUGGCGGCGUGCUUAACACAUGCAAGUCGAGCGGUAAGGCCCUUUCGGGGGUACACGAGCGGCGAACGGGUGAGUAACACGUGGGUGACCUGCCCUUAGCUCUGGGAUAAGCCUGGGAAACUGGGUCUAAUACCGGAUAUGACUCCAUGACGCAUGUUGUGGGGUGGAAAGCCUUGUGCGGCUAGGGAUGGGCCCGCGGCCUAUCAGCUUGUUGGUGGGGUGAUGGCCUACCAAGGCGACGACGGGUAGCCGGCCUGAGAGGGCGACCGGCCACACUGGGACUGAGACACGGCCCAGACUCCUACGGGAGGCAGCAGUGGGGAAUCUUGCGCAAUGGGCGAAAGCCUGACGCAGCGACGCCGCGUGAGGGAUGACGGCCUC